Molecule: long non-coding RNA, 1889 nt
Organism: Carya illinoinensis
Lineage: Eukaryota; Viridiplantae; Streptophyta; Magnoliopsida; Fagales; Juglandaceae
Exons: 3
Source: RefSeq, a predicted model, not a curated record
UGCACACCUGACGUGGAGAACCCAGUCCGGGGAUCAACUUGAGCUACAGUUCCACCCACUUUGGCAACUGACGUCUCAACUUCAGCUGCCCCUCUCGUCGAAAGUCAAGCCCUCUCUCUCACCUCUUCCAGCCAAAGAGCUCAAGCCUUUCUCUUGCCUCUCCUCGGCCAAGCCUAUCCAGGUCAAGCAAUGUAAUGGAGUCAUCAACGAAAUUUCCCAUUCUUCAUCUCCUUGUGAUAAAAUUUCUCUCCACUAAAACAGCCUUCCCCUCAUCGUGGUCCUCUUUGUAUCGGUUCCUCCCAUCUCUCUCUGUACAUCUAGAUCUGCGAUAAAGGAACCGUGCUUGCAUCCACCGUGCCUGCAUCAUCCCGCUGAACUCUUGUUAAUUAUAACCCAUUACAAUGACGGGAAUGUUUACUUCACCAAAUGGAUAUUGUGUUUGUUGAUCGAGUGCAGGGAUGAUAUUUGAGGAUGAUGGUUCUAGUGUCUGAUUGUGUGUAAGUGAUUUUAGGGAAGCUUCAAAUUGACUUAUAGCGCAUAUGUGGCUGGUGUUUCCCUAGGUUGUUACACACCAACUCAGCAAAAUCUUAAGACCCAAUAACUUCUAUUUGUUGGUGUCUUAUUUUCUAGUCAGCUUUAUUUCGAAGUAUAUCCUCUGUUAAAUCCUUGCUUACUACACAUUUCCUACCUCUUAUGGACCUUUCACUUGUCUUUUGUAGCCUUGAACUUGGAAGUCAAAUUAUUAUUGGCCACUGCAUUGGUAGGCUUUUGCUUUUCUUGCACUUGGCAGUCACAAGUCUAAAACUUUUUCCAUUUACUUAUAUAUCUUCACACUCAUAUAAUCUUUUGUACGUACUUAUUUGUCCGAUACUAACUCAAUUCAUGUAAAUUGUUAUUGCUUGGCAUUUGUUGAGAUUCUCUGAACUCUAAAUGUUUUGGACAACUUAAAGAGAUAAAAUUAUGUGAUCGUCUACUUGAGCGAGGUUUAUGUUUUUAGAAAUGUCUUCAAUUCAUUCUUGUAAUCUUUCCUAAAACUAGUGCAUCUAUGCAUUAUUUGUGUGUACAAGUUAUAGUGUGGCAGUUCCCCAAUGUUAAAUUUACUGUCGUGAAGAGUGUUACAAUGUGAGCGAUAAUGUCCACAUUUGCUCUUUAAAUUUACUCUAUUUUUUUUUUUUUGUUUGUCCAUGACUUGCGUAAUAAAUUAAAAAAGAAAAAAGAAGUCGUGCAGUAGAGUAUUAUUGUCCUUGCUAUUUGAUGGUCCUUGUGUUGCAUAUGCCCUGUUUCUUUUUUGGUGCCCUUUAGUAUUAUGAGUGUUAUUGUCUGAAAAAUAUGGUGUUUCAGGUUGAUAAUUUUGGCACUGUAAACCUUUUUGAACCAUGCCGUAAACUAGGUGUCAACAGAUUCAUACUUAUCAGUUUCCUUUUAGUGAAUGGAGCUGCAUGGGACAGAUACUUAAUCCAGCUUACAUCUUUCUCAAUGUUUUUGGACUUACAUUAGUUGCAAAGCUUCAGGCUGAACAAUAUAUCAGAAAAUCCUGAAUAAACUACACUACAAUACGGCCUAGUGAGCUACCCCUGGCAGGAAUAUUUUGAUGGAGCUAGAGGGGUAACAAAAGGGAUACUCUUUAUGAAGGUACCAUAUCCAAAUAUAAGGUUGAAGAUAAACUAAGAGAGAGACAAAGGUUGAGGUUAAACAAAAUUUGUGGGGGGUUGAGAAUAGAAAUGCACGAAUAUUAUAUCAAUUGUAAUAGUUUAUGCUUGGUUCAUAUAAACUAUAGGGCAUUUACAAUAUUUUCUUGAUUUCUUUUGUAUGGAUCAAUUGUAAUGGCCCUUCCCCAUGAAUUGUAGAGGCUAUUUUCAAAAUAUAGAGUUUUUUGUCACUUUUCUGAA